GUGGAUCUACUUCUUUUGUUGCUACAUUAACAUUUUAAGUGGUUAUUUAAACAUGAUCUCAGAUUUUUGGAAGCCAGAAUUCUGGCUCUUUGGAAGUGAAGCACAAUCAGAAAAACACAAAUCUGAUCUUUCCCUUUCCUCUUGCACCAAUAACAAGA
Tinamus guttatus (white-throated tinamou) is the source of this 158-nucleotide non-coding RNA. Lineage: Eukaryota; Metazoa; Chordata; Aves; Tinamiformes; Tinamidae. The record is from RefSeq and is a predicted model, not a curated record.